RNAcentral lists this ribosomal RNA (434 nucleotides) under uncultured Lachnospiraceae bacterium. RNAcentral's name for it is "partial 16S ribosomal RNA". It matches the Rfam family "Bacterial small subunit ribosomal RNA", at positions 341 to 792 of the family's 1533-position model. Lineage: Bacteria; Bacillati; Bacillota; Clostridia; Lachnospirales; Lachnospiraceae. The record is from RNAcentral.
ACGGAAGGCAGCAGUGGGGAAUAUUGCACAAUGGGGGAAACCCUGAUGCAGCGACGCCGCGUGAGUGAAGAAGUAUUUCGGUAUGUAAAGCUCUAUCAGCAGGGAAGAAAAUGACGGUACCUGACUAAGAAGCCCCGGCUACCUACGUGCCAGCAGCCGCGGUAAUACGUCGGGGGCAAGCGUUAUCCGGAUUUACUGGGUGUAAAGGGAGCGUAGACGGCAAGGCAAGUCUGAAGUGAAAGCUCGGGGCUCAACCCCGGAACUGCUUUGGAAACUGUCUGGCUUGAGUACCGGAGGGGUAAGCGGAAUUCCUAGUGUAGCGGUGAAAUGCGUAGAUAUUAGGAGGAACACCAGUGGCGAAGGCGGCUUACUGGACGGUAACUGACGUUGAGGCUCGAAAGCGUGGGGAGCAAACAGGAUUAGAUACCCUGGUA